GGAUGUGCGCGGAGGCGAUCGUGGCCGGGUCGGCGAACGGGACGCGGCUGGUGGACGAGAGCGACCUGCGCAAGUACCUGGCGGAGUUCGACCGGCUCUACUGGCCGACGUACAAGGUGCUGGACAUCCUGCAGAAGGUGUUCUACCGCUCCAACGCGGCGCGGGAGGCGUUCGUGGAGAUGUGCGCCGACGACUACGUGCAGCGGAUGACCUUCGACAGCUACCUCUACAAGCGCGUCGUGCCGGGCAACCCCAUCGAGGACAUCAAGCUCGCCGUCAACACCAUCGGCAGCCUCGUCAGGGCCACCGCGCUGCGCCGGGAGAUGGGGAAGCUCACCUUGUGAUCACCGACACACCGGAAACGUCCCUGACAUCCUGCUUGGGUUGCUCGAAGCUGCGGCGGAUCGAUCGGUAUAGCAGAGAUCCGCGGCCGAUCGAACGGAUUUGAGGCAGAGGAGAU
Molecule: long non-coding RNA, 460 nt
Filed under: Hordeum vulgare
Lineage: Eukaryota; Viridiplantae; Streptophyta; Magnoliopsida; Poales; Poaceae
Description: long non-coding RNA (HVUL_LNC016756)
Source: RNAcentral